AUUGAACGCUGGCGGCAGGCCUAACACAUGCAAGUCGAACGGUAACAGGAGGCAGCUUGCUGCUUCGCUGACGAGUGGCGGACGGGUGAGUAAUGUCUGGGAAGCUGCCUGAUGGAGGGGGAUAACUACUGGAAACGGUAGCUAAUACCGCAUAAUGUCGCAAGACCAAAGAGGGGGACCUUCGGGCCUCUUGCCAUCGGAUGUGCCCAGAUGGGAUUAGCUUGUUGGUGGGGUAACGGCUCACCAAGGCGACGAUCCCUAGCUGGUCUGAGAGGAUGACCAGCCACACUGGAACUGAGACACGGUCCAGACUCCUACGGGAGGCAGCAGUGGGGAAUAUUGCACAAAGGGCGCAAGCCUGAUGCAGCCAUGCCGCGUGUAUGAAGAAGGCCUUCGGGUUGUAAAGUACUUUCAGCGGGGAGGAAGGGAGUAAAGUUAAUACCUUUGCUCAUUGACGUUACCCGCAGAAGAAGCACCGGCUAACUCCGUG
Molecule: ribosomal RNA, 490 nt
Filed under: uncultured bacterium
Lineage: Bacteria
Description: partial 16S ribosomal RNA
Rfam family: Bacterial small subunit ribosomal RNA
Source: RNAcentral